Molecule: long non-coding RNA, 589 nt
Filed under: Helianthus annuus (common sunflower)
Lineage: Eukaryota; Viridiplantae; Streptophyta; Magnoliopsida; Asterales; Asteraceae
Description: hypothetical non coding rna
Source: RNAcentral
CGACGCCGGCGGCUCCGGCGCCACCUGCCACCGACGAUUAUUUUGGCGACGCAGCCCCACUUUUUGUUAAACUACAGUUGUGGAGAGUGUUACAGAGAGAGAAAGAGAGAUGGCCUGGAGAUUCAAGGUUGAGGUUGUUUUCCGGCAAGAGAAUGCCGAGAGAAUUCAGCUGAGGCCUCUCCGAUGAACGGUGGUAAACGGUCUUGUCCACUGGUUUUCGAUGGAUAGCAGAGGAGCGACGGCGGCGGUGCUGGGGUUUGACGCAGAGAGGACGGUGGUGAUGUUAUUGGGUCGUCAAGCGGCGGUGGUGUUGUUCUGAUAACCAAAGUUGUUUCGAUAACCAUAAAUUACUUUUCAAUUACGUUCUCUGUUUUUCAGACCCAAGGAAGUUGAAAUCGGCAUGUCGGAGCCUGAUGAUUCGAUUGUAAAGAAGCCUAAAAAACUGUCUAGGGUUUUCAUUUGAUCACGGCGUACGAUAAAGGAAGUUGAAAUCGGCAUGUCGGAGCUUGAUGAUUCGAUUGUAAAGAAGCCUAAACAUGAUCAGGCAAUCAUCUGGGUUCAAUGAAAGAGAUUAAAGGCGGGUUCACUU